AUAUGGCUGAAGAGUCCCAAAAUAGGGCGAAACAGCUGUCCUGUAC
RNAcentral lists this non-coding RNA (46 nucleotides) under Trichobilharzia regenti. The record is from RNAcentral. Lineage: Eukaryota; Metazoa; Platyhelminthes; Trematoda; Strigeidida; Schistosomatidae.